RNAcentral lists this long non-coding RNA (581 nucleotides) under Nicotiana benthamiana. Its description in RNAcentral is "long non-coding RNA (NBEN_LNC011055)". The record is from RNAcentral. Lineage: Eukaryota; Viridiplantae; Streptophyta; Magnoliopsida; Solanales; Solanaceae.
UGAAAAUGAAAAGAGACGUGUUUUGAAAGUGGUUUUGUUAUUUGCCGCCAAAAAUAAAAAUAAAAAAAGAGUCCUAUUUUAAAAUAGUUCAAUUAAUUGGCAACCACACUGGUUUGAUUCUCACAGGGUGUGAGUAUAUAGGCAACCCUCAUCGGGUCCAACCUCCAUUUUGCUAAAAAAAUGCCAAAUUUUUAAUUUUCGUCAUAAGGAAGUGAGGUGAUGUUGUUUACGUCAAAAAUAGCUGAAUGUUCCCGAAAGGGACGCCGGAAGGCUAACUUUGCAUAAACAGCUCAUUUUUAGGAUUUUAGCCAGUUAGUUAACGCAGCCUCAGAAUAUUCGUCCCUGAGGCGCUGAAAGGCCGUUUUUGCAAAUAUCUGGUUUUCUAUUUUCGAUAAAAAAUAAGAAAUGAUCCAUAAAUAAGUCGGUGAUGCUGUUUUUGCCGUAUACAGCGGAAUGUUCCCGAAAGGGACGCCGGAAGACUGACUUUGCAUAAACGGCCACCUUUGGUCAAUGUUUUUAGAUUUUGGUCGAUUGACCCACACAGCCUUAGAAUCUUCGUCCCCGAGGCGCUGAAAGGCCGU